Molecule: long non-coding RNA, 954 nt
Organism: Magnolia sinica
Lineage: Eukaryota; Viridiplantae; Streptophyta; Magnoliopsida; Magnoliales; Magnoliaceae
Exons: 3
Source: RefSeq, a predicted model, not a curated record
UUUCCAAGGGAAAAAAGGGCGGGAAGAAGAAAGUAGUCAAUCCCUUUGCGAAGAAAGAUUGGUACGAUAUCAAGGCUCCCUCGAUCUUCAACGUCCGCACCGUCGGAAAAAGCCUAGCUACCAGGACACAGGGCACCAAGAUACCCUGUGAAGCCUUCAACACUCAUAUCACUCUCCUUUUUCUGAAUUAUGGGGUGUGGAUUUUGUGCAAAGCCUUUAACUUCAUCACCAUGUUUUAUUUGUGCUUGACACUGCAUCAGUGACCUUCCAUCUUCCAACAAGAUACUGGCGGUAGGCUGAUGACUACGGCUGCCUGCAUGGACCACAAACUUGGAAAGACAAUACACAUUUUUGCAACACGAACAUCUGAUUCCUUUGCGCAUGACCCACCCUUCUGCCAUAACAUGGUUGUCCUUUUUAUUCAAGUAAUGUGCUUUCUCCCCCAACAACACCACAUUAUUGUCUAUCAGAGAAGACAGGUUGAUUGAAGGCAUGCAUCUAUUCCGGCGUUUUUCUCCUUUCAACUUGUGAGGUUCAACCAAGUAACUUGAUGGCUGAUCUUGUCUAUCCUUCUCCACAAAAGAUUGAGGUUCAACCAAGUAGCUUGAUGGCUGAUCUUGUCUAUCCUUCUCCACUGAAGAACUACCGGAAGACGAAGGCGAGUUGUUGCAUUCAAGCUUUCUUUUCUUUAAUUCAGGUUCUCCACAUUCCAUAACAGGUUGCGGGCGUUUGCCAAUCAAUCCCUGGAGUUCAAGCAUCAAUUGAUCAACUUGAUCUUUAUCUAUGAUGUGUUCAGUCAUCCAUUGAUCAAAUUCAUCGUCAUCGAGAAAAGCAUCCGUUUUCCUGAAAAUAUAAAAAUCUUGUUAUGUAAAUUACAUGAAAACAAAUGCAUUCAUGUUUAAUUGAUAUGGCAGGAAAGGAAUUAAGCAUGACACUAUCAGAUGUUCUGGGUUA